CAAAAGACACAGUGAUCACAUUACUUUGGUUCCACAAUAAAAGCGUGCAGCAUGCGUUGCAAUACACUGUUCGAUAACAUGAAUUAUUAUUGUUGAUAUUCUUAAGAUUAAUACAAAAAUACAGUACAAAGAAGAAGAAAUAAUUCUAACUUUGAUUUGUGACGCUAAUCUAUGCCAAACUUUUACAUUUUUUAUUUAUGUCAACUUCACCUCAUGAAGCAGCAAGAAACAGGUUUUACACGUCAGGACCACCCUCUCUAACGUGCCCCAGAUGUCGGUGGAAUCUGCUCCUGACACAAGUUACACGCAGGCCUGUCCAGAACAUCAGAAUUCCAGGAUACUGCACAACUGUAUGCUAGUAAAGAGCAGCACAUCUGGAGAAUGAUGAGAGAAGUGGGAAUACCCGGAAUUCCUACUGGGUGACAGGAAGAGGCAGGAUACUGA
Molecule: long non-coding RNA, 444 nt
Organism: Polyodon spathula (Mississippi paddlefish)
Lineage: Eukaryota; Metazoa; Chordata; Actinopteri; Acipenseriformes; Polyodontidae
Exons: 3
Source: RefSeq, a predicted model, not a curated record